RNAcentral lists this microRNA (23 nucleotides) under Daphnia pulex (common water flea). RNAcentral's name for it is "Dpu-Mir-22-P2_3p (mature (co-guide))". The record is from RNAcentral. RNAcentral also lists the same sequence under 2 other names. Lineage: Eukaryota; Metazoa; Arthropoda; Branchiopoda; Diplostraca; Daphniidae.
GAGCUGCCCAGUGAAGGGCUUUC